GAUGAACGCUAGCUACAGGCUUAACACAUGCAAGUCGAGGGGCAGCAUGGUCUUAGCUUGCUAAGGCCGAUGGCGACCGGCGCACGGGUGAGUAACACGUAUCCAACCUGCCGUCUACUCUUGGACAGCCUUCUGAAAGGAAGAUUAAUACAAGAUGGCAUCAUGAGUCCGCAUGUUCACAUGAUUAAAGGUAUUCCGGUAGACGAUGGGGAUGCGUUCCAUUAGAUAGUAGGCGGGGUAACGGCCCACCUAGUCUUCGAUGGAUAGGGGUUCUGAGAGGAAGGGCCCCCACAUUGGAACUGAGACACGGUCCAAACUCCUACGGGAGGCAGCAGUGAGGAAUAUUGGUCAAUGGGCGAGAGCCUGAACCAGCCAAGUAGCGUGAAGGAUGACUGCCCUAUGGGUUGUAAACUUCUUUUAUAAAGGAAUAAAGUCGGGUAUGGAUACCCGUUUGCAUGUACUUUAUGAAUAAGGAUCGGCUAACUCCGUG
This 490-nucleotide ribosomal RNA is filed under the name uncultured bacterium. Its description in RNAcentral is "partial 16S ribosomal RNA". It matches the Rfam family "Bacterial small subunit ribosomal RNA", at positions 28 to 507 of the family's 1533-position model. The record is from RNAcentral.